RNAcentral lists this long non-coding RNA (1116 nucleotides) under Junco hyemalis (dark-eyed junco). RNAcentral describes it as "lncRNA (ENSJHYG00000001810.1)". Lineage: Eukaryota; Metazoa; Chordata; Aves; Passeriformes; Passerellidae. The record is from RNAcentral.
AUGGGGAACAAAGGGCAGGGGAAGGGUUGGCAGCAGGUGCCACAGCCCUCCUCCUUCCCUCCUGUCCUCCCUCCCUCUCAUGGAUGCUGUCCAGGGCUGUGCCCUGUUUUGUGCCCCCCUCUGGGGCAGCCUGGAGCGUUGUGGCAGUGCAGAAGGCAGUGCUGCCCACAGCCCUGUGCUGGCUGUGUGCUGCCUGCGCUCCACAGCUGGCUCCUGCCCAGCACAAGGAUGGCACAGUGGGAUACCAUGGAGGGUACACUGCUGAUGCCCCUUUGCCUGUCUCCACUGCCUGCCCAGGGGCUCUUGCACAACCCAGCUUCUUCCGUCAGCACUGCUGGGGCUGAGCCCUUAGCUGUCCCACUGCUUUGCUGUGGGGCUCUUCCCCUUUCUGCCUGGCCUGCUGCAGACAACCCCAGCUCUGGGGCCUGCUGGGCCAUGCCAGGGUGCCACAGUGCCGGUGCCCCUGACCGGUCUGGCGUGGGUUGCCUGGGCGGGUGCCGGUGCUGGUGGUGGGGUGUGGGGCGAGCUCUCUGGGCUGCUAAUUGCUGUUUAGCUGGGGACACCGAGGGUGUAAUUAUGGGGGCAUUGCAUGAAUGUGCAGCCUGGCCUGGGGAGCCCACGAGUGCCCCUGCCCAGGGAGCGCAGGGGGUCAGGCAGCAUAGCCCAGCUGGGCCGUCACUGCUCCCCACAUUCCCCAUGGGGAUCUCGGGAGCCUGCUCCAAGGGGAGAGCAGGACAGGAAUCCAUAGGGCCGGGGGGUGGCUCCAGGGCUGGCCGGGCAGGCUGCAGCAUGCUGUACCCAGCCCUGCCCUGCUGCCGCCGAGCACAGGCGCCCUGGCAGCCCGGCUGGGCUGGCCAUGGCCAGUGGCGAGCACCCAGCGCCCUGCCUUGGGGCACACGAGGAGGUGAGGAGGGCCUGGCUGAUGUGCCACGGCACGGGGGGGCAGGGGCAGACGGCAUGGAGACCUUGUUAGAGGUGGGGAAGGCGUGUUUAAGGUACAAGUGCCUGUCCUGGCAGCGCUGGGGAUUUUCUCCCGUGGGAGUGGGCCGGGGAUGCCCCCUGCCCCGUUCCGGAUUGGCGCCCCACGGCGCAGCAGCGCCGGCCGCAAAGAGUUAA